CCCUGUAGCUCAGUUGGUAGAGCAUGGUGUUUGCAACACCAGGGUUGUGGGUUCAAUUCCCACAGGGG
Molecule: non-coding RNA, 68 nt
Organism: Salmo salar (Atlantic salmon)
Lineage: Eukaryota; Metazoa; Chordata; Actinopteri; Salmoniformes; Salmonidae
Source: Rfam